RNAcentral lists this ribosomal RNA (492 nucleotides) under uncultured bacterium. RNAcentral describes it as "partial 16S ribosomal RNA". It matches the Rfam family "Bacterial small subunit ribosomal RNA", at positions 29 to 507 of the family's 1533-position model. The record is from RNAcentral.
AGUGAACGCUGGCGGUAGGCCUAACACAUGCAAGUCGAACGGCAGCACAGUAAGAGCUUGCUCUUACGGGUGGCGAGUGGCGGACGGGUGAGGAAUACAUCGGAAUCUACUUUUUCGUGGGGGAUAACGUAGGGAAACUUACGCUAAUACCGCAUACGACCUACGGGUGAAAGCAGGGGAUCUUCGGACCUUGCGCGGUUGAAUGAGCCGAUGUCGGAUUAGCUAGUUGGCGGGGUAAAGGCCCACCAAGGCGACGAUCCGUAGCUGGUCUGAGAGGAUGAUCAGCCACACUGGAACUGAGACACGGUCCAGACUCCUACGGGAGGCAGCAGUGGGGAAUAUUGGACAAUGGGCGCAAGCCUGAUCCAGCCAUACCGCGUGGGUGAAGAAGGCCUUCGGGUUGUAAAGCCCUUUUGUUGGGAAAGAAAAGCAGCAGGUUAAUACCCCGCUGUUCCGACGGUACCCAAAGAAUAAGCACCGGCUAACUUCGUG